Long non-coding RNA from Triticum dicoccoides, 1169 nucleotides. RefSeq lists it as uncharacterized. The transcript is spliced from 4 exons. NCBI's taxonomy places the organism in Eukaryota, Viridiplantae, Streptophyta, Magnoliopsida, Poales, Poaceae. The record is from RefSeq and is a predicted model, not a curated record.
CCCCGGCGCUCGUCCGGGUCUGGUGGGUGCUCUCCUCACUCCCCGACGAGAUCCUUGAUUGGUGAUCCCAGCUCUUCGUGCUCGCCUCGCCCCGCUCCGCCGUGUCAGCCAAACGAUGGAAGAUGGAGUAGGGAUCGGGAGAGGAACAAGGAGUAAGAGGAGACCACUUGCUGGUGGCCAGAGAACCACAUCCCCAGCGCCAUGCUCCUGAGUCCGCUUCUACUGCCUCCAGUCGGAAUACCUACCUACAACAGCAAGGCUCUUUCAUUUCAUAUAUGGACGGCAAGGGCGUCUUCAGCAGCGUCUAAACAGGAUUCGACUGCCCACUCGAUGCCAAGGGAGAUGCAUCGCUGUCGCCGUCAAGGGACUCAACCAGCGCGGCCUCCAGGUGUUCAUGUUAUUUCUUCGCUUCUUUUUGGUGUUGUGCUGCCCCGUUGAGAGCCGACAGGAAGAAUAGGAAGCAGAGUCCGUAGGUCAUGGCUUUGUGCAGCUAGCUAGCAUGAAUAACCGUGUGUCUGAUGCUUAGCCAAGCAGUGUUCCAUUCAUCUAUAAAUAGAUCGAGUGGUACUUUCAUUACUUAGGUGAGAAGUGUUUCAUUCAUUUGAAACUCAAGAUUUGAUAGUGGCACCCUCAAAGAGAUAGCGUUGCAUGUGCAUAACUCACAAUUUGACAAAUAAUUCCCUAUAUUUAUUUGUUUCUUUCUUAUUCAUAUUUCUGGUUCCUGAACUGAACCUCUAUCAUUUUCGACACAUUAGGAGCAAUGUUUUCAAGGCGGUAAGGCGAGGCAAGGCGAUGGGGGGGCGCCUCACCGCCUAAGCGGUAAGGCAUAAGGCAAGGCGGACGCCUUAGAGAGUUCUAAGCAGUAGAAUGAAGUAGAAUUUGGUAGGCAACUAGGCAUACACACUACACAUCUUGCACUUGCUGCUGGUUGUAGAGCCUAUAUAGGAUCCAUCCUCUUUGCACAUUCUCUUCUCCCCAACAGUAAUCAUGCAUUAUUCUAACCAUCCAGGAUCCACUAACCACUAUAAGAGAGGUAGUGAGCAACCAGCAAAGCAGCUAGCACAAAGCAGUGAGCAACCAGCAAAGCAGGAAGCAAUGAACAACUGAAAAACAGCAAGCAACGAACAACUUAACAUGGAAGAAACAGAGCAGAGGAGGGUGGGGGAGAA